UAUAGCUGAUUUUAGGAAAAUAUAACAUUUUAAAGAGUGGCAACAUUCCAAGGUCUCUUGGAAGUAGACCUGUGAAAUACUUUCUUGCGAGAACAAAUUGUUCAAAAGCAGAAGCAUUUGACAAUUUAUACAUGGGAUCGACCAUGCAAGAACUUGUUAGAAGCAUGUAGAGCAAGUCCAAUUUCAGAAGGAAUGGUCCCUUUCAUUUGGUUGAAAUAGACGUUAAAUACAUAAUAACUGGAGACGUUGCAGAGGCCCCGAGGAAUCUAUGUCGUCAGAUUAUAUUCUCCUGAGACGUUGCAAGCCAUCCCUUCGCAGACCCAUUUCAGAAAGAGAUGAAAGAUACCUAAUGUUCCUGCAAGAUUAUUUCUUGCCAAGCCCAUAGCUUCAGGAUUAACUAAAGAACUGGACUGAGCAGGAAUGUUUCCUACCAAAUGAAUUGUUGAAGAGUAUGAAAUGUGGCAGGCGACGAAGACGACCCUUUAGGGAUUUAACUACAUUCUCCAAAAAUAAAAUUGCAGACAGAAUAAAACAUCCAAUACUAGGGAUUUUAAUUGCUGGAAUGGCUCAUCAACCACCAAAACAAAGGGUUCAAUCCAAUUCUAUAUAUACACCUUUCAACUAUGAAAAAUUUGAAACCACACACUACCUUGCAUUCUUUAGGUAAUUGCUAGCAACUUGUAGAAUUUGAAGCCUCAGCCCCAGUGCUAGAUUUUUCAGCAGUACCACUAUCACCAUCUUUGACGCUAGUCUUCAGUGCUGCAUGUUCCUUUCUUUUGUUACUAUCACAGAUCAGUAGCUGAUCCAGAAGAGGUUCCAUCCUUUUCCUUCUUAACUGCAACUUCUUCAAAAGGUCUCGAAUUAUUCUAUUGUCUUGAACUUCCCAUUCACUUGAAUCCAAUGCUGAAUAAAGUUGCUGCAAUUCAUCACGGACUUUGUUUACCAUCCCAGCAGCACUUCCACUACUGUGACAACAAUUACCCCGACGGCAACAUCGCAUUGUAGCAUUUACAAGGAGAACAUAUUCUAAAAUCAUUUCCAUCAACCAUGAAGCAUCAGUCAGUGGGUUAAAUUCAACUGUUCCAAGCAUAGCCCAAAAGUUCCUAUUAGUCUGUUGUGCUUUCACAGGGUCAGAUGUAGUGACAAAACUUGAAGCUGAAGGAAUCUCUUGGUGAUUUAUCUUCAAAGAAAUCCCUCCGCCAAAUGAGUCUUUCCUUGCCAACUUGGAACAGCGAGCUCGGUUGGAAGAAAACAUAUCAUUCUUAAGAAAUAAUCUCUGCAGAAUGCAUUUUCUGCCUUGCUCAACAUUCAAGUGCAGAAAAAUUGCACCUGGAAAUGAAAAUUCUGCACAAUGUAAUCCCAGAUUGACAACUACAAGAGGGUUUCCAAUACCUUUUAGUGCCUCUGAAACAACUUUAAUGUUUAUAUGUGCUUUCUCAUGUUCCCUUAACCUCCACAGGGACUUGUAAAACUUCCAUGGCAACAAAGAGGUAACUUCUCUCUUAUCCAACAAAUUGAAUAACAAAUCAUAAUACCCAUCAAAGUUGAUGCAAAGUAGACAAAGCACAACAAACAAUCUCAGCACUAGAAGAGGGUAGAAUUCCAUUUUCAGAUUGUACCUUUUGAUCCAUUUUAGAGGCUCACUACAAAUGAGUUUAUUAACUGUGUGGGCCACAAAGCCGACAGUUUCUUCAAGUAAUGGUUGCACUUGCACAUCAGAUAAAUAAUCCAAAUUUGUUUCAGUGUUCCAUCCCCUGGACAUAAGCCAUUCAACCAAAGAAGACUUAGUUGUGAAGAAGUAACCUUUCAAGUAGGAAACCAGGAUAAGGAGGCGAUCCACAAGGUACAAAAAUACACUUGGUGAAAAGUCUGUAUAUUCAGUAUCUGCUAAAGCUCUAUGGAAUUUCACAACCAAAUCAAAAUCACUUGGAUCUUCAAUGGAAUUAUCAUUACUUUUAGUUUGGAUGAAAUUCUCAAUGAACUCUUUCCAAGAUAUAUUAUCGCCAAGGGUUGUUGCAAUCUGCAUGUAGAGAUUAGUUGAAAAUUUUCCAGACAAAAUAAUCGUCAUUAGCAUUCCAAGUUGUCCAUUAGCAAUAGCCCUUGAGCGAAUGAUUCUGUAGACAACUUCCCUCAAUAAAUUCCUCGAAAGCUCUGUAUCUCUAAGAUAAAUCAUAUCUUUUGUCAUUGGCAUUCGCCAAUCCAGUGGAUAGAUAUGUCCAAAGAAGUUCUUAAUAGGAAUUUCAAGGAAUCUCUGCAGGAUGUUACUAGAGUCUCUGUGGUUCAAGAAUUUUGACUCAAUGAGAGACUUUGAAACCCUGAAGAUUUCAAUUAGAAGCAUGGUUUUGCAAUUCAAGGAUAAAGCAUUAUCAACUGAAAACACAUAAAAAGCUUCUAGAAUUUCAAGCACCUUUACACCAACAGUAAGCAUUUCUGAUGACCAGUAACGUAUAGCAGACCAAACAAACUGGUCAGCAUCAAUCCAUAUUGAAUUCCCUCUCUUAAUAUUUCGAAGAUUAGCGCCCUUAACCCAUUCUGCAUCAGGAUAAAGCAAAAGAUACAGUGUCUUCUCAUUCUUCAACUGCUUACUUACACCAAAGUAGUUCAAACAGAAUUCACUGUAAGAAUCUUCUUUCGUAUCCUGUAUAGAACUCAAAAUGUUCUCAAUCUCUUCUUUCCAAAAGUUCCAGUAGUAAACUAUACCUCCAACAGAAGUUUUCUCCCUGGAUUUCUUGUUUUGUGUAUAUUUUAUUAGAUCCUCAACCAAAUAGACCUCAUUCUCAUGCUGUGGUGUACCUUGAUAUAGGUAAGCAUCGAGAAUUUUUCGUGCACCUAAAAUUUUACCUCUGAAACUUCCAUGUCUUGCAGAAUCUCCCCAAUUUUUUUCCAUCGUAAAUAAGCUGCUCUUUCCAUGUGAUAAAAUGUCUGCCUCAAUACAAACAAAAUUGUGGUAGUGCUGUGAAACAUUCUCAGCAUAAGUUUUAGCCUUUAUCAAAAGCUCCUCUUUUUUCUCAAACUGCUUCAAGGGCCAGCCUUUGCUUCCAUGCACCCAAAGAGAGUUGUAUAACACAUAGGAAAGGAUAACCCCAGAUGCUUCUUUAAAUUUCCUUCCCAUCUGAAGAAGAUCAACUCCAAGCAAAAUAUCACCUUUCAUGUUUGCAACAUUUGCUGCCUCUAAAAAAUUGCCCCUUUCCUUUUCCAACAACACAAGUUCAUCAAGGCAAUCUACACUUUUCAAGAAAGUACGCAUUAGAUUCUCAGACUGAAAAUCUUUCACAAAUUUCAUCAUGGAUUCGGAAUCCUGAAGCUUUUGAAAAUAAAGUGCACCUCUCUCCAGGAACUUCUGAAGUUCUUCACUUUCAAGAAACCCUUGCCCAAUUAGAAAUUUAUUCUCUUUCCAUAAUUGGAUAAAGUCAUAUCCCACUUCGAAUAAUUUCCCAUCAGCACAAGCAGACAAGCACUUUGAGAAUAAGUUGCAUCUAGCAUAUAUUUCAGCUGCUCUUUUAUAACAUCCUGCACUAUAAAAACAUUCACCGGCUUCUUCAAGCUUAGAUUCCCCACACUUCUCCAAGUAAAUUAUACCUGCUUUUUCAUAUUCACGUAAUUCAAAGAAACAUAGGGCAGCAGACUCGUUUUUGCCAAUUGACUCAUAAAUAUGAGCAGCCUCAGUAAGAUGAAUGUCUGCCAUUUUGGGAUUUGAAUCCCUCAUUUGGUCAGCAGUAGAAACACUACCAGCAGCCACUGCCCACUUUUCCAAAUAAGAUUCUCCUGCCUUUUCAAAGCAAAAUCGUGCCUUGUCAUAGUUUUGCUGAUAAAAGAACUUCAUACCACGAGCUUUCCACUCCCUUUGACUGCUUGCAACUUGAAUCUCCUGUAGAAAAUUGUAUUCUAAUUCACGAAUUUGGACAAGGUGUAGCUUCUCCCAGUAGUUAAACAUAGAGCAAAAUCGACUCUCAAAAAUCCACAACCUUUUCCUUGUGCGAGUGAUUGCCACAUAUAAUUGCUUCAGCUCUAAACACAAGGAGAUGUGCUUUCCCUCAUUGAAAAUUGGAAAGGACUUUAGAAGAGGGGAAUCAAUCAAAUUUUGCUCUUUCAUAUAUCCAUAUAUAACUUCCCAUUGAUCCUUCAGAGGAGAAGAGCUAAAAAAGUUGUACAACAAGACAUCCUGAAACUCUAGGCCUUUGCACUCCGUUAAUGUCAAGACAAGUGCUUGCUUUCCCACAUAAUUGAGAACUUCAUUCCUAUGACUGUCAUCUCUCACUAAAAUGACUUGUUCAGCUCCAAAACCAAAAAUCCCACGGUCAAAGCUUCCACUGCCUUUGAAAAACGAGCAUAAUGUGUUCUCCCCAUUUCUCAUCUGUACCCACACUGGUUCUUCCCCAUUUACAAGACUUGUUUCAGGUUGCAAUCUAUCAACAGAGGAAGGAAAGAAAUGAUAAAGAAGGUUAAGAACACUAUUAGCUAACUUUAAAACACCAGCAUGGGAACGGAAGUUCUGGCUUAAAUUAAAGAUAUCAGAGACUUGUCCCUUCCCAUUUCUCUCACAUGCUGUGAACUCUCUAUAAAAAAGAGCUUUUAUAUCUUUGAACCUAAAAUCAACCCCUCUUACAAUGGUUUGGGCUGUAUCACCAGAAAAAACAAACCCAUCCUCAAAAUUUCUGCAGAUAUAUUUGAAGAGGGAAAUUUGUCUCAUUGUCAAAUCCUGCACUUCAUCAACAUACACAAAGUCCAUUUUCUCACCCUCAUAGUUCUCAUCUCCAAGCCGGUGAUGAAGGUCAAUUACAAAGUCAGACAAAUCAAACUCCCCUCUUGUUUUCUUUUUCUUUUCAUAUUGAAUAAAAAUAUCAUAAAUCGUACCUCUUUCUUGUUCACUUAGAUGAGAUAACCUACGCCUAGAAUAGGAAAUAUAAUCCUCCCUACUUAGUUUAUCAUCUUGGACACCAACACAGGAACCUCCUUUUAUAUGAGAAACUAUCUCCGCAAAAAUUGUGGAUGGAUCAAGUUUCUUUGUUAGCUGUAUACUGAAAUGGGGCCAGUAAGCUGAACAAAACUUGUCAUAAUGAACCUCCUUUGUCCUGAUAAAAGUUUUUAAGGCCAUGGAUCUAGAACCUUUUCUCUUUUCCUGAGAAAGUCCCGUAAAUUCAAGUAAUCUUCCAAAAAACGACCUGCCAACUGUUCCAUCCAGCAUCAUUAAGAAUUUGUUAAAUGUUAUUACAAGAGGAUAGGAACUUCGUGGGAUAUCAGAAAAAGAAUCUGGAAUGUCUGAAAAUUGUGAUGCCUCAUCAAUAUCAUCCAAAUUAGACUGAAAGCCUUCAGCUGAAGAAUUGCAGCCACACAUUGAUCUUUUUAAGCGUGAAAUGUAUUGUCUAACAGCAUAACACAGCUUAACAUUGACAGUAACAAAGAUUUGCCGCAAAAUAUUUCCCUUGAUUUCAACUUCACUUCCAGCAUUAUCUUUCCUCAGAGUACUACUUGCAGAAGAAUUGCUUUCAACUUUAUGAAACCCUUCUGCAGCUAAAUGGUAAAGCUGCUCCUUUUGAACUAACUUCAUAAUUAAAACAGUGGUUUUACCUGUACCUGAUCUACCUAGUAUAAAGGAACUUCCACUGAAUUCGAUGAUGUCCUUUUCUUCUUCUGUUAGCUCAAAAAGGAAAUCAAUUUCAUUUCCAUCACAACCAGAAAGCAAGUGACUUACAACUCCAGCAGACAAGGCGUAGAAUUUCAUAAGCAGAAAACUGUCACUUGAUUUGCAACUCUCGACAAAGGCACUUGAAUUAUUCCCACUCUGCACACAAUCUCUCUUAUAACGGGAAAUACAAGAAUUCCAACUCUUAGGAACUUCCAGAUCCCCCUCAAGACACUUCACCUUGCAACGUUUGAUAAAUUCAUCAGUAUAUGACUGAAAUAUAGUACUAAGAUGAUCAACCAACAAUGGUAUGUCCUCCAGAGGCAAUAUAUCCCACACCUUCAAGACUUGGAUGUAGCAUGAAUCCUUCACAACAUCAAUUGAGCAAAUAAUGUGCAGAUCUUUAACCUUAAAUUGUUUCAACAUCUGGGAGAAGUCAUCACAAACUAAGUUUGUACUCCUCCUCUUUGGCCGCCAACCACAAGAAAGCCUCAGUAAUAAAUUCAAAAUCAACUUCUUUGUUUCAGAAGACUUCAACUUUUCAAAUGACUUUCUGAAGUUGUCACUGAAUAGAACCUUCCAUCUGGCAUUUUUGAAAAGUAAACUAUCAGCAUUGAGGAAAUCAUCAAGCUGAUCCAUUUCUUUCUUCACCUCUAGCACAACAUCUGCCAAAUCCUCAUCUUCUUCAGCAUUAUAGAAACAAUUACGAUCCUUAGCAUCUUGGACUAUCGAUUUCCAAACAGUGUUACUAUCAAAAAGAGUUCUUCCAUCUCCCACAAUCCAAAGGCAGCAUCUGGCCCUUGUCAAUGCUACAUUAGUUCUCUGCCUGUUGGAAAUGUCCCCAACUGAUCCUUUAGCAUUAGAUCUUACAGUAGAAAAUAUGAUUACAUCUUCUUCUCCACCCUGGAAUCCAUCAAUUGUACUCACUUUCAGUGAAAAUCUGUCAAAGCUAUCAUACUUCUGUCCAACUUUUUCCUUGAUUGCAAUGACUUGUGCAGUGUAGGUAGCAACUAUGCCAACACUAAGCAUCUCUUUUGAUUUGCCCCAUGCUUUAAACAAUUUUCGGAUGAUUUUUGUCACCAUUGCAACUUCAACCAUAUUUUUAAAGCUACAUGUGAAGCUAUCCAUUUCCUCUCUUCCACAAGAAACAUUUAUGAAAGAGUACGGACCAAACAAUGGAAGCAGACGAAUGCACUUUUUGUAUCUUUUAUUUUUAACAUUUGGAGCAUCCAAAAUUUGGUUGCCAUAGAAUUCUGAAUUAGGAAGCAAACUGAUAAGUGGAUGCAUUCUGUACUGCAUAUCCAGAAUAUGCUUUGAAUGACCAAUUGAAAUCAACCUUUCAAACAAACUUCUUCCAAAGCCAGCUCUAGCAGAAGCAUUGCUUGUAACCGUUGCUGAUAGCUGACAGUGAUCACCAAAAAGAACACUAUGCCUGACACCUGGCAGUUGCAAUGGUAUGGAUAAUUCACAUUCUUUCAGCUGUGCAGCCUCAUCAACAAUUAACAGGUUCAGUUUAUUUGCUAGAACUGAAUGUAGUGCAUAAGAACUCGAAGCAGUACAAAAUAUUAAGGAAGCAGUCAAUAAUCGUGAACUACUAUCCAGAGUUUCAACUUGAUGAUCCAUAUAUAUCUCUCCAAUGUGUGCAUUAACUCCUGACAAGCCUUGAUCACCAAAAUAGAGAAUCCUGCCCAAUAAGUAUGAUGCUUCAGACGACUCCUUUACCAGCUUCAAAACACGAGAUGCCAAUUCUGCAAUUGCAACAUCUGUUGGGGCACAGACAAGACUCCUACGAUUCAUUCUUAAGAGAGUAUAAAGGAAAAUACUCAACGUUCUCGUUUUUCCUGUCCCUGGAGGGCCCAGAAUAAGUUCCACAAAAGAUCUGUGAUUACAUUCAAUUCUAUAAAGAAUGUCAACAACCACUUUCCUUUGUGACUUAUUCAGCUCAGAUGGCAAAGUCCUAAUAUAUUCUUCAAAUACAAGGCAAUUUCCUCGCGCACGACAUAGGGCAUAGUUCUUCUCAUCCUGAGUGGGAGAGCACAAGAUUUGCUUAAUAACAUUCAUAUUUCCACCCAUUUGCAAUGAAUUCCAUAUUCUUUCAUUUGUCCUCAUAUUCAUCAAGAAAACUAUGAACAAAGGCCUCCCUGAUGACAACUUGACUUGAAUCUCUUUAGAAGAUAGGACUCGAAGAAAAGUAAGAGUAUGACCAUCCCCAUUCUUAUUUUCUGUAAUCUUAGACAGUAACGCCCAUCCCCUUUCAAGCUGUGGCAGAUCAGAAACAGCUUCAGGUUUAGCAUCUGUAAAAACAAAGUAAUCUCCUGCAAAUGUCCUGUAAGACCUUUCUCCAUCAACUCCACAUCUGUUUCUCCAGUAAUCAACCUCAAUAUCAUAAUAAAGUUUUCCAUUUUGUUUGGUACUAUCAAAGUACGUCACUUGAGCGUAAGGUGCUCUGGAUACCUUCUCCAGACUUGAAGCCAGCUGCGCUCUAGUUUCCUCCAGUAAUGGAUAAACAAAUGACGCAAAAUACUGAUCCACUGCCUGAAACGAAUCGGGGAUCUUCUCAACCUUCUCUUUGUAGAGCUCUUCAUCAAGAAUGUCACUUAAAGACCAAGAAAAGACCUCAUCAAUCAAGCCUUUUCCCAUGGGAACUCUCUGAUUUGUUCUCUGUUCAAAAUUACUUACAAUGAAUCAUUUGCUUCAAAGGACCUUAUCUUAGUGAUCGAAUUUUUCAAGAGUGCUGAGAAGGGUUGUGUGCAUUUCCAAAGCUUCUAACUAUAAACAUUGAGUUAUCUUAAGUGGCAAUCUUCAGAAUUUCUAUAAGUGGAGAAGUGGAAGAGGCUCCAAGGGGGCUUUGGGAUGUUGUACGAGAGAGUGAGAGGAAA
RNAcentral lists this unclassified non-coding RNA (8502 nucleotides) under Hevea brasiliensis (rubber tree). Lineage: Eukaryota; Viridiplantae; Streptophyta; Magnoliopsida; Malpighiales; Euphorbiaceae. The record is from RNAcentral.